RNAcentral lists this ribosomal RNA (775 nucleotides) under uncultured Neocallimastigales. Its description in RNAcentral is "partial large subunit ribosomal RNA". It matches the Rfam family "Eukaryotic large subunit ribosomal RNA", at positions 18 to 643 of the family's 3401-position model. The record is from RNAcentral. Lineage: Eukaryota; Fungi; Neocallimastigomycota; Neocallimastigomycetes; Neocallimastigales.
UCAGACGAUGCGUCAUGCAUAUCAAUAAGCGGAGGAAAAGAAACUAACAAGGAUUCCCCUAGUAACGGCGAGUGAAGCGGGAAGAGCUCAAAUUUGAAAUCUUAAAGGGUUUCCCUUUACGAAUUGUAGUUUAAAGAAGUGUUUUCUGUUGAGGUUUUGGUAAAAGUUCUUUGGAAUAGGACAUCAUAGAGGGUGAGAAUCCCGUAUUUGACCUUUACUUUCAACUUUGUGAUACACUUUCAAAGAGUCGGAUUGUUUGGGAAUGCAGUCCAAAAUGGGUGGUAAAUUUCAUCUAAAGCUAAAUAUUGGCGAGAGACCGAUAGCGAACAAGUACCGUGAGGGAAAGAUGAAAAGAACUUUGAAAAGAGAGUUAAACAGUACGUGAAAUUGUCAAAAGGGAAGCGUUUGACACCAGUGUUGUUUUUCUGAAAAUCAAUUAAAGAAGCUGUUUAUGCUAAGCUGUUUAGACUUUAUCAGCUAUCUGUUUAGUUUUGAGCUUUUCUUUAAUGCACUUUUCAGUUAACAAGUCAACAUCAAUUUCUUUUGCUGUAAAAAAGCUUGAGGAAGGUGGCUUGAGAUUCGUCUUAAGUGUUUAUAGCCUCUUGCCUAUGCAGUCGGAGAGAUUGAGGUCUGCAGCGUAGAUCCUUCGGGGCUAAAUGCAUUUGUGCUAAGUUAUAGCAUUUUAUAGACAACUUGUUGACUAUGAUUUGUCUUGUAGCUUACUCGCUUAUGUUAUUUUACCUACGCUUAGGAUGUUGACACACGCGCGUGCUCG